RNAcentral lists this ribosomal RNA (253 nucleotides) under uncultured bacterium. RNAcentral describes it as "partial 16S ribosomal RNA". It matches the Rfam family "Bacterial small subunit ribosomal RNA", at positions 524 to 776 of the family's 1533-position model. The record is from RNAcentral.
UACGGAAGGGGCAAGCGUUGUUCGGAAUCAUUGGGCGUAAAGGGCGCGCAGGUGGCUCUGUAUGUCUGCCGUGAAAGCAUACAGCUCAACUGUAUUGUGUCGGUAGAAACUGCAGGACUUGAGGCUGGGAGGGGCUGGUGGAAUUCCCUGUGUAGCGGUGAAAUGCGUAGAGAUGGGGGAGAACACUCGUGGCGAAGGCGGCCAGCUAGACCAGUUCUGACACUGAGGCGCGAAAGCGUGGGGAGCGAACAGG